CCCUACGGGGCGCAGCAGUGGGGAAUAUUGCACAAUGGGGGAAACCCUGAUGCAGCGACGCCGCGUGGGUGAAGGAGUAUUUCGGUAUGUAAAGCCCUAUCAGCAGGGAAGAUAAUGACGGUACCUGACUAAGAAGCCCCGGCUAACUACGUGCCAGCAGCCGCGGUAAUACGUAGGGGGCAAGCGUUAUCCGGAUUUACUGGGUGUAAAGGGAGCGUAGACGGCAGCGCAAGCCUGGAGUGAAAGGAUGGG
RNAcentral lists this ribosomal RNA (252 nucleotides) under uncultured bacterium. RNAcentral's name for it is "partial 16S ribosomal RNA". It matches the Rfam family "Bacterial small subunit ribosomal RNA", at positions 337 to 606 of the family's 1533-position model. The record is from RNAcentral.